This 73-nucleotide transfer RNA is filed under the name Gracilinanus agilis (Agile Gracile Mouse Opossum). RNAcentral's name for it is "tRNA-Tyr". It matches the Rfam family "tRNA". From Rfam's summary of the family: Transfer RNA (tRNA) molecules are approximately 80 nucleotides in length. The record is from RNAcentral. Lineage: Eukaryota; Metazoa; Chordata; Mammalia; Didelphimorphia; Didelphidae.
GGUAAAAUGGCUGAGUAAAAGCAUUGAACUGUAAAUUCAAAGACAGAGAAUAAUACCCUCUUUUUACCAAAUA